GGGGGCGACCGGUUUCGACGAAGAUGCUGAACCCUUUGGUGCAUGUCGGGUAGGUACGCCCGUUACCCAGGCCACUUGCAAUAAUUGCAAACGACGAAGUAGAACUAGCUUACGCUGCGUAAGUUACCCUGAUCUUGAGGUGUCCAUCCAUUAGGAAGCCAGGGCAAUUUAGAUGGAAUCGCUAUUCGGAGGUGUUGACUCGUGUCGCCGGAGGUUAAAAAGUAACGAAUCGACCUGUUGGGCGUCUUGUCUGUUCAACUUCCUUCAGGUGCUAUUUGAAUAGACUAAACAUGUAGAUCCAUUGGCUGAUGGUUUUCGGACGAGGGUUCGACUCCCUCCGCCUCCACCA
RNAcentral lists this transfer-messenger RNA (349 nucleotides) under Mariprofundaceae. Its description in RNAcentral is "GCA-2401635 sp913055645 Standard tmRNA". It matches the Rfam family "transfer-messenger RNA". Rfam says of the family: Bacterial tmRNA, also known as 10Sa RNA or SsrA, is named for its dual tRNA and mRNA-like properties. Lineage: Bacteria; Pseudomonadati; Pseudomonadota; Candidatius Mariprofundia; Mariprofundales. The record is from RNAcentral. RNAcentral also lists the same sequence under 1 other name.